Molecule: long non-coding RNA, 1872 nt
Organism: Sardina pilchardus (European sardine)
Lineage: Eukaryota; Metazoa; Chordata; Actinopteri; Clupeiformes; Clupeidae
Exons: 2
Source: RefSeq, a predicted model, not a curated record
AUAAAUUUUAUAUGUUUCCCAUUGUAUUAACCAUUUACUAUAGCUUACAUAUAAUUAACUCUAGUUGCCAUCCUGGCCUUAGGAAUGUGGAGGUGACCCCAUGGUGAACCCAUGGCACACAAACACAAACAUGGUUGAGGAGUUCUUGUAAACAUUCUUAUCUCUGAUAAUUACCAGGUGGUUAAAGACUCACUAAAGUGUGUCUAGUGAUUUUCCAUGUGUGUGUGUGUUAAGGGUAUAAGAACAGGCUUCGCCCACAGAUGUGUGGGCUUGUUACUUUGACUUUCAUGUGAGUAACAUGCUCCCGGUAUCGUGAAUAAAGCUGCAGUCUCACACCAGUUGUCUUGGAAUAAUUUUGACCACAUAUUUGGCGACGAGGAUGGGAUACCUAUCUCUGAGACAUAGCGAGGAGGACCAAAGGCGCAGGACCCUAACCAAGUCGACUGGAGGGAGAUCUCUUUGUGAUCUUGGGAGAAGGCCGUCAUCAGCAACCAACACUGCUCAGCGGCACCCAGCCUGGCCAGAGGGAAUCCUCCUGUGACUCGGAUACGGUAACACCCGUGUUUGGUGGUCACAGACAACUUGGUGGUGGCGUUGGCAUUUCCACAAAGUUUGCAAAGGACAAACCCAGCCAAGCCAGGCUCCUAGGAACUCAUCAAAGGAUUGCAAAGGAAGAAAACGCUGGAACCAGGACAAAUGGAAAGGACUUUUCGAAGAAUUAACAUCUACACCUACAUGUACAGCCAUAAGGAUUUCAGAGUGGUGAAGAAUCCAGAACAUACAUGAACUGAACUGAACAUAACCAACACGUGGUUGCAAGAGAGGGUUGACAAAGUAUCUAUCUAUCUAUCUAUCUAUCAAACAUAUUUUGCAAUAGACUGAAGAAUGGACUUUUGGGGAGAAUGAAUAAAAUAUCACUAGCAUCACAUUAAAAUAUUCUUUCUCAGUUUAGCUAGAUAAACGUUACAAGUUUGUUGUUUUGGUUUAAUUUUAUUUGGACAGUUACCUGAGGAGGGUCUAAACACCCAAGUCAGCUCUGCUGUUGAAGACUAGGAUUAGGUUUUAUUUUUGGUUUUGAAUAACUGAGAAAACAGAAGAUGUUGAUGUUUGUUUUGCUUAUUAUUCAUCUAAUCAUCCCUUAAGAAAGAAGUUUGUGAUAAUAAUAAAGUCUGUGAGUUAGCCUUCCAUGCUAAAUUAACAUUAACAGGAAAUAAUGAAAUAUGUUGGAUAUGCCAAGAAAAAUCUUUUCAAGUGUGAGUGUUUCUGUAUUAAGUGUUUCCCUAUAGAACUUUUCAGGAUUCUCUGUGUGGUCUAUUGACUACUGUAUGUACCAGCCCUCAAUGUUUAUCAACAAUGACAUGGUCCCAUGCCAAGUGGAAAGUCUACAGAUUCAGAGAAAUACUAGAUAUUACGAAAGAGGAAAUUAUAGAACUAUAAAAUAAGUCUAACCUUCUGUUUAUUGUAUCAUGAAUAUACAUAUUAUAUAUUAAUGCGGUAGGAAUGGAGCUUCAUAGCUCCACAGGGGGGAAUAUGUGGGAUAAAUUUUAUAUGUUUCCCAUUGUAUUAACCAUUUACUAUAGCUUACAUAUAAUUAACUCUAGUUGCCAUCCUGGCCUUAGGAAUGUGGAGGUGACCCCAUGGUGAACCCAUGGCACACAAACACAAACAUGGUUGAGGAGUUCUUGUAAACAUUCUUAUCUCUGAUAAUUACCAGGUGGUUAAAGACUCACUAAAGUGUGUCUAGUGAUUUUCCAUGUGUGUGUGUGUUAAGGGUAUAAGAACAGGCUUCGCCCACAGAUGUGUGGGCUUGUUACUUUGACUUUCAUGUGAGUAACAUGCUCCCGGUAUCGUGAAUAAAGCUGCAGUCUCACA